RNAcentral lists this ribosomal RNA (527 nucleotides) under Anastrepha annonae. Its description in RNAcentral is "partial small subunit ribosomal RNA". It matches the Rfam family "Bacterial large subunit ribosomal RNA", at positions 1813 to 2605 of the family's 2925-position model. Lineage: Eukaryota; Metazoa; Arthropoda; Insecta; Diptera; Tephritidae. The record is from RNAcentral.
AAACAUGUCUUUUUGAAUUAUAUUAAAAGUCUGACCUGCCCACUGAAUAAUUUUAAAUGGCCGCAGUAUUCUGACUGUGCAAAGGUAGCAUAAUCAUUAGUCUUUUAAUUGAAGGCUGGUAUGAACGGUUGGACGAAGUAUAAACUGUUUCAUAUAAAUUUAUAAUAGAAUUUUAUAUUUUAGUUAAAAAGCUAAAAUUUUAUUAAAAGACGAGAAGACCCUAUAAAUCUUUAUAAAUAGAUUUAACUAAAUUUUUUUGAUUUGGUUUAUUUUUUUAAAACUAAUUAUUUUGUUGGGGUGAUAUUAAAAUUUAAUGAACUUUUAAUUUUUUAAAAUCAUUAAUUUAUGAAUUAUUGAUCCAUUAAUAAUGAUUAUAAGAUUAAGUUACUUUAGGGAUAACAGCGUAAUUUUUUUUGAGAGUUCAUAUCGACAAAAAAGUUUGCGACCUCGAUGUUGGAUUAAGGUAUAAUUUUGGGUGUASCUGUUCAAAAAUUAAGUCUGUUCGACUUUUAAAUCCUUACAUGAUC